Long non-coding RNA from Piliocolobus tephrosceles (Ugandan red Colobus), 1464 nucleotides. The record is from Ensembl. Lineage: Eukaryota; Metazoa; Chordata; Mammalia; Primates; Cercopithecidae.
AUUGGACAAUGGCAGAUAUUUUUAUAAAAAAAAAGUGAAAGAUUACAGCCUGAACAUAAAUGGUUACGAAUUACCUAAAAGAACUUCUUAUCAUGUACUUGUAAAAAUAUUUACAUCUCUUAUUACUGUAGUUAUUAUUUCAUUAUAUAUAAAAAGUAACAAUUCAUCUAACAUGUCCUUUACAGCGACAAGUAUUAAUAAAGAUUUGUAUUUAUUAUUUAAUGCCUUGGGGUUUCCGGUAAAUAGCAAAGACUUCGUUUAUAGUAGAGUAGAAAGUUGGGGGUUCAAUUUAUCAGAAAUAGGAGAAAAAGAAAUAAAUAAAAAUUAUAAAGAAGAAAAUUUAAAAAGUUAUAAAUAUUCAAAAUAUACAUAUAAAAAAAUUUUAUUUUCUAAUUUUGGUAUAAAAGAAAAAAAUGGAAUAAAAAAAAAUAUUCUUUUAUAUAAAUUUUUAUAUAUUUUAAAGAAUCAUCCAAUAGAAACAUUUUAUGAUUUUUUAAAUACAUUUAUAAUAUUACAGGAUUUAAACUGUUUACCAGCUCAUUACAAGGGUAUAUAUACGAAUGGUAAACUUUUUGUAACGAACAAUUUAGGGGAGGUAACUUUUUCAGUUACAAAUAAUUUAAAAACAGUAGUUAAUGAAGAACCAUUCUUAUAUAUUACAUAUCAUGGAGGAAAGAAAAAAAAUUCUAUUCAUAACGUUUGUAAAUUUUCAAGAGAUGGUUAUUUUUUAGGAUCGGUUCUAUUACCAUUCGAAGAGAAAGGAAAAUUUUUUAAUUUAAUAAGUCCUAGAGGAUUAUUAAUUAAUAAAAAUUAUUUAUAUGUUAAUGAUUCAUUUAAAAAUAAUUCAAAGAUUUUCAAAUUCUCAAAUACUAUACCUGAAUUAUCAUAUAAAAGGGAAUAUAUUCAAACAUUCAUUGAACAAAAUGAUAAAAAUAAUCCUUUAAUGAAUCAUCCAUAUGAUAUAAAAAAAAAUAACAACUAUUUUUAUGUAAGUUCACAAAAUACAGGUACUGUAUUAAGGUUUGAUGAAAUAAAUGGAAAACUAGGAAAACCUAAAGAAGAACUAAAAGAAAUAUCUGAUGGAUUAGUAGUCCAAUUUAAUAAAAAUGAAGGAAUACGAGGAAUCGAUUUUGACAACUUAAAUAACUUCUAUGUUGCAAAUAAACAAAAGGGUGUACAUGUAUAUGAUCCUGAUUUUAAUUUAAUCCAUGUUAUCUCGGUUGUAUCUCCUAUAUCUGUUUUGUUUGACAAAGAAACUAACCAUAUAUUUGUUGGAAGUUCAAUAACGAACGAUAUAAAAGAGUACACUAUUGGUACUACACCUGAAAAUGCAGUUGAAAAUGUAACUGAAAAUGUAACUGAAAAUUUAGCUGAAAAUUUAGUUGAAAAUGUAACCGAAAGUAAAACUACUAACCAUAAUGCUCACAGUACUGAUAAUCCUACCAACAAAACCACUGACCCUAC